Molecule: small nucleolar RNA, 101 nt
Organism: Sorex araneus (European shrew)
Lineage: Eukaryota; Metazoa; Chordata; Mammalia; Eulipotyphla; Soricidae
Source: Ensembl
AUCCUUUUCUGGUUCAUAAGCAUGAUGAUUGUGUUUACAUGCUUGUGUUAUAUGUGCUUUCUCAAAUAUUGUUACACAUUUGGCACAUUGCCCAUCUGAUG